This 1085-nucleotide ribosomal RNA is filed under the name Enterococcus faecium. Its description in RNAcentral is "bacterial SSU rRNA". It matches the Rfam family "Bacterial small subunit ribosomal RNA", at positions 56 to 1112 of the family's 1533-position model. The record is from RNAcentral. Lineage: Bacteria; Bacillati; Bacillota; Bacilli; Lactobacillales; Enterococcaceae.
UGCAAGUCGAACGCUUCUUUUUCACCGGAGCUUGCUCCACCGGAAAAAGAGGAGUGGCGAACGGGUGAGUAACACGUGGGUAACCUGCCCAUCAGAAGGGGAUAACACUUGGAAACAGGUGCUAAUACCGUAUAACAAUCGAAACCGCAUGGUUUUGAUUUGAAAGGCGCUUUCGGGUGUCGCUGAUGGAUGGACCCGCGGUGCAUUAGCUAGUUGGUGAGGUAACGGCUCACCAAGGCCACGAUGCAUAGCCGACCUGAGAGGGUGAUCGGCCACAUUGGGACUGAGACACGGCCCAAACUCCUACGGGAGGCAGCAGUAGGGAAUCUUCGGCAAUGGACGAAAGUCUGACCGAGCAACGCCGCGUGAGUGAAGAAGGUUUUCGGAUCGUAAAACUCUGUUGUUAGAGAAGAACAAGGAUGAGAGUAACUGUUCAUCCCUUGACGGUAUCUAACCAGAAAGCCACGGCUAACUACGUGCCAGCAGCCGCGGUAAUACGUAGGUGGCAAGCGUUGUCCGGAUUUAUUGGGCGUAAAGCGAGCGCAGGCGGUUUCUUAAGUCUGAUGUGAAAGCCCCCGGCUCAACCGGGGAGGGUCAUUGGAAACUGGGAGACUUGAGUGCAGAAGAGGAGAGUGGAAUUCCAUGUGUAGCGGUGAAAUGCGUAGAUAUAUGGAGGAACACCAGUGGCGAAGGCGGCUUUUUGGUCUGUAACUGACGCUGAGGCUCGAAAGCGUGGGGAGCAAACAGGAUUAGAUACCCUGGUAGUCCACGCCGUAAACGAUGAGUGCUAAGUGUUGGAGGGUUUCCGCCCUUCAGUGCUGCAGCUAACGCAUUAAGCACUCCGCCUGGGGAGUACGACCGCAAGGUUGAAACUCAAAGGAAUUGACGGGGGCCCGCACAAGCGGUGGAGCAUGUGGUUUAAUUCGAAGCAACGCGAAGAACCUUACCAGGUCUUGACAUCCUUUGACCACUCUAGAGAUAGAGCUUCCCCUUCGGGGGCAAAGUGACAGGUGGUGCAUGGUUGUCGUCAGCUCGUGUCGUGAGAUGUUGGGUUAAGUCCCGCAACGAGCGCAACCCUUAUUGUU